RNAcentral lists this long non-coding RNA (1184 nucleotides) under Dicentrarchus labrax (European seabass). RNAcentral describes it as "lncRNA (ENSDLAG00005031174.1)". The record is from RNAcentral. Lineage: Eukaryota; Metazoa; Chordata; Actinopteri; Moronidae.
AAUAGACACAACGAACCAGAUGAACAUUACCAACACUACGCAGCUGCAUUCACAUGUGAGCCAGAUCCUGUAGUCACAGCUCAGUUCUGGGAAAAGGAAUGGUUAUAUGGGCAAGAUAUGGCCCAUAUACACAGCAAGGCGGUUUUUGGGUGUGUUUUGGUGCUUAUUGGUUGCGAUGUCUUGCAUAAGGGCCAGAUGUGGCUGACACGGCAUACUGGUUUUGUGGUUGAAUCUGGCCUAUUUGUAUGUGGGCAAGCCAGUUAUCAGCAGCAGCAUGGCUAAAACACUCUGGAUGGCGUUGUUGGUCCGUCCACCAUUUUGGUCCAGGCUAAAAUAUCCUGCUGCCCAGAGGAUGACGCCUGCUGACCAGAGGUUGGAUCGGAUCACUGUUUUCUAAGACACAAGUAAGUCUCAACUCUCAAAUCAAUACAGGCAAGUUGCAAGUCAAUUCCUAAACAAGUCACAAUGUGCUCUUCAUCCUGCAGUUUGAUUGAAGGCUGUUGGAUUGGUAAAGUGGAUCUGAGGAAUUAAGUGUCGAUGUCCUAACUUGUUUUAGGAAAUGAAGGGAAAUCAACAAAACUGUGGCACUAUUUUUAAAUAAUCUUUGUAUUUGUGAAUAUAUCAACUAUUUUCAAAUCAAAGGCUCAAUGAGGUCACAGUUCACUGGUGUUAAAAUCUAAGUUGAGUUGCAAGUCUUUUACUGUCAAGUCGAGUCCAAACUAAUCAAAUUUGUGACUCGAGUCUGACGUAAAUCCAAGUCAUGUGAUUUGAGUCCACACCUCUGCUCCUUAGUGAGUUUGGAAGUCAGCUUAUUUUUCCUCCCGCCACCAUGAAGUUGAUCAUUUUGUUCUUUAUUGAAUUGUUUCAACAAUUACCAUUUAGUACAGACAUUUAUCAUGCCCAAAAGAUGAAGCCUACUGACUUGUGAUUAUCCAUGACAUUUCCUUUAAUGUCACCAGCAGCUCAAAGUUUAUACACAUCCAGUUAGAUAUCUCAGCGUAAACUGGAUGGAUUGGCACACAGCUAUGUACAAAUAUUCAUGGUUCUUAUGUGUAUUCUGAUGAUGCUCUGACUUUUCCUAUUGUGCCACCAUGAGGUUGACAUUGAUGAUUGAUUCAAGACAUUCAUGUCACAGUGAACUAGAAUUACUUUGUUGAUCUCCUGACGUUUCUAAGCCUCAGCUC